GCCCAACUCUCACUACUUGUUACUAUUCUUCUUCCUCUUCCUGUAAUAUGUAACAGUUGCUAAUGUUUGUAAUGACAGAAACACCCGCAUGCACAUGUGCAAGCACACACAACACAUUGCUACACCCUCACUUUUAGACAGCAUCUUAUAUAGGAAGAUUGCAAAUGAAUUUGACAUCCCUGAAUGUAAAUUGAGACUAAAUGGUUGUGGAUUCCAUGAAUUUGCGAGGGAUGGCACUUCUGUUUUUCUUAGGGUUGUAUCUCCAACUGUGGCUAACUAAGAAUUGAUUUCUAAGCACUAAUUGAUUGCCAAGCAUAUCUCCUACCUUAUAACGGACAUAAUCAAAAUUUCUUGUUAUCAUCAUAAGCUCAUUGUUUUGGAUAAAAGCAUAGGGACUUGCCACAACAAUCUUUCAGGUUGAACACCAUUACUCAUUUAAUAUGCAUUCCUCUCUAAAUUGCUAGGUGCUUCAAAUUGUUCCAUUCAUCCACUGUCAAUUGCAUGAUCCAAAUACAUACAAGUGCUACACAGACAUUCCAACAAAUCAAUUUUUGCUGGGAGAGAAAACCUCAGCAUUUGAAAGCUUGCUAAAAAUGCAUUUUCUGGAGUGAAAAAUUAUGUAAAUGAUGAGUUCAAUGUCACCCCCUUGUCUUAAUUGUGAUGAGUUUGUUUUGAAAUGGGUCCUUUGCAGUGAAUUUAGAGACAUAUAUGAU
RNAcentral lists this unclassified non-coding RNA (713 nucleotides) under Hevea brasiliensis (rubber tree). Lineage: Eukaryota; Viridiplantae; Streptophyta; Magnoliopsida; Malpighiales; Euphorbiaceae. The record is from RNAcentral.